Mastomys coucha (southern multimammate mouse) is the source of this 3239-nucleotide long non-coding RNA. RefSeq lists it as uncharacterized. Lineage: Eukaryota; Metazoa; Chordata; Mammalia; Rodentia; Muridae. The record is from RefSeq and is a predicted model, not a curated record. The transcript has 5 exons.
GCUUCAGUGAGCUGUCUUCCCUCUUUAUGGUUAAGUGAACCCGAAAACAGUGGCAAAGAAAUAUGCACUGAGUCAUAUAUUCUACAAAAUAGACUGUACUCUCCUCUAACCAAAAUUACGAACGACAGUUUAAUUCUUGGAUUUUUCCACAUUUUUCGUAGCUAAGGCUCCUAUUUGCUUUCUUUGAAUCUAUCAGUUCUUGCAGCUCUGCCCAUGGGGAAAACUCUGCGGGACCCUGCCACUGUAGCCCUGGCACUGUUAAGAGGAGUCAAAGAGACUUCUCAGAAGACAACCAAAUCAUUACUUGAAGAAGGAAGAUCCUACCCAUUUGGGUAUCUAGUGAAACACAGACAGAAUGAAGAGAGGGAGGAAAGAUAAACUUUCUUUCUGGAUCCAGGACAUCUGUCUUCUCCUUGUGGAUGCUUAUUUCUCUGGCCUUAGGCUCCAGGAUGUAUGUUCAACCAUGGAUGGAACCUGAAUAGACCAAAAGUCUCCUGGUCUAUUGAGUUACUCCAGACCCAGGCUGAUGGGAACGCCAUCUCCACACAGAAAUCUGCUUUCAAAUUCUGCAUCCCAGGUGGGAGAACACAAUGAUAAAAAGCCCUGUGGUUUGCAAAGAGGUUCAUCAGUGGGAGGUGGAGAAAAUGGAGCAGAAGAGUAUUGGCCAGACUUUCCCAGGAUUCCCAGAAUUGAUGCAGACUCUACAACCCCACCAGUAAAACAUGAAUGGGACCACAGGAAACAAGAGGUAACAGUGAAACCGCCUCAUGGCAAGCUUCCAUGGACAUCUGGGAGACUCCAUGCUGUACAGCUAAGAUAAGAAUGGCAGAUGCAGAGAUGGUCCAUGUUCCAUUAAUGCUUCAAGAUGGCAUAGAACCAACAAGGAAUCCUGAAACUUUAAAAGUUGACACCUCCUUCCAUGUCUCCCAACUACAAUCAUGUUCUCAAAUUCUCAACUGAUUUUUCUUCACAAAAGAUGCCUUACCCACUGAGCCAUCUCGCCAGCCCCCACCAGCUAUUUCAUAUUGUUGCUGUAAUAUGCCUGUCAGUCAUUAACACAGAACGAUAAUGAGACUCAAAGCAUGGUCAUGCUGACCACAUAUCUUAUUCUGUUCUGUAUAUUCUGAGGUUCGUUAAUCAACAACUGUAAACACCACUUAGGAAUCGGAAUAAAGGUCAGUUAGAACUACCUAGUCAAAGUAGCUUGAGUCAGAGCCUACCACUAGGCAGCACUUCCUGCUCAUUGUGUGUGUGUGUGUGUGUGUGUGUGUGUGUGUGUGUGUUUCCUUUAUAAACUGGCCCUGAGAAAUGUUCUGGGUCAUAGCCUCAGCCCCUAAAUUCUGACCUAUGGCUCUAAUCAACCAAUCUUAGGGUGUGCAUUCAAUAAACCAUCCCUGUCUGAGUGAAAAAAAAGAUACCUUCAGUGACUGAGAAACACAACAGAUGGUGACACAUUUGGAUGAGUUAUGUCAUGAAAUGGAUGACCUAGCCAUAAUGCUGAGAUAUCAGGGGUAGGAAGGGAAGGGCCUCAGGAAAAGCUGGUGCCAAGACUGAAGUUAUCAGAAUCAUGCAUUGCAUGAGUGCUGUUGGACUGGAAUCUGCAUGAGUGACCUACUCUUCCGAGGAACAGCUUGUUGGCACUGAACUCUAAGUGGGGAUUGUUAAUUCAUCCUACACUAUAUGCUCAUAUAUAUGUAUAUAUAUAUAUAUAUGUAUAUAUAUAUAUGUUCAUAUAUAUAUAUGAAUUCUAUACUACCAUUCGUGCAUAUAAUACAGAAAUAUCCUGGUGAGGGUCAAACCUUCAUUCUCUUACCCUUUAUAAAAACAUUCAGCCAGUACUUCAAACCAGGUUGGUGUUGGGGAUAGAUAAAAUGUGUUGAAUCAAGACAGAGAAACAAAAGUACCCCUAGUUUUAUAUCAAUAUUGAAAAGAGAAUAUUGAAGAUUGAAAAUAUUAGGCUAGCUAGUAAAUAUUAAGUCUAGGGAUAGGAAGAGAUUGAAGCUGACUUAAGACUGAAUCAGAGAAGAAAUGUAAGAAAGAAAAGAAACUACCAGACUCUGGGGAGCACAUGGGCAACAUUUUAUAAAACCCCACAGAUUUAAAAAUAAGAAACAUGAAUAUUCUGAAAUCAAUAAAGUACUUUUAGGAAUUUAUCCUCCACACAUGGUGACUUUCAUAAAAGUUGUUUAUGGAAGGCCAUUUGGCAAAAUUGCUUGUACUGUCAAAUAUUGAACAUAAGUUGGAUGUCUACCACAACAGAAUCUAUUAAUAAAAUAUGCAAAUCCAAUUAAUUUAACAUUAUAUAACCAUUAAAAGUAUCCUGGGACAUAGUCAUGAUCUCAAAUAUAUUAUUAUUUAGAGAAGCAAUAGGAGGGUGGGACAGACAUGUAUAAUAAAAUACAUUUCUAAAAAUAAACAGAACAGCAAAACUCAUUCUUCAUAGAAAUCAGAAAAGUUUAACUUUUAAAUCACUGUGUAUAAUGGAAGAACUGGUUGUUCUCCGUGAAUAAGGGAGAAAUUAACACUGGGAUGAAAACAAUUAAAACUGAAAUCAGAGAAGACAGAAAUUUAAUGUAAAAAACAUUUUAGCGUAAGAAAGAAGCAAGAAAUGGUAAAUAUUCUGAAUAAUGAAAGAGCACUUUCUGAGUUAAAAUUUACAGACUCACGAAUUCCAUGAAUGGUAAGUAACAGUAAGUAACAUUACAAAUGGAAUGGCAUUCAUGCUUUAAAUUGUAGAAACAAUGAAAUUUAUCUUAUAAAGUCAGAAGUUCCUACUUUAAAUGAGAGCUUCUCAUCUCAAAUACCACUUCUGCAACAUUAGAUGAAAAGGAUUUCAGUGUCAGGACAUGAAACAUCUAUAGUGCUUUCAAAAUUAUAUCUUACCCAAAUUACUCUUCUAGUGAAUAUGUAUAUAUAAGACCAGAUAAUCUCAGGAAUACAUGUAACAAAAUUGACAGACUCAUUACCAAAAUCAGUAUGGUUUUAAAAAGAAAACUGAAAUACCGUUUCACACAAAUUGAAUUUUACGGCCCCAAACUAUGAAAUUCUUGAUACUGAUGCUCAUGAGCACAGAAUGAAGGGUGCAGCUGCUGAUAUGUGCUGCUAUGCUAUGCUAUCAUAUGCUAUGAGAUGAUCUGUGGAAACAAGUUGGGGCAUAUUGGUACAAACUUAGAAAUUCUAUCCAUGUCAUUGACUUUCUUGGAUGAAGCAAUAAAUAAAAAUAAAAUAAAAUUCAUAAA